RNAcentral lists this long non-coding RNA (1052 nucleotides) under Camelus dromedarius (Arabian camel). RNAcentral's name for it is "lncRNA (ENSCDRG00005015320.1)". The record is from RNAcentral. Lineage: Eukaryota; Metazoa; Chordata; Mammalia; Artiodactyla; Camelidae.
GUCGCGGAAGGAGGAAUCAGCGCCUCCAGGAGGCUCCGAAUUCGUGCUAUGUCGUGGUGUUAGCCCGCGCAGCCCCUUUGUGGCUUUGGGAUGUUGCCCAGAUUUUUCCUGUAAAUCCACCGUUAGGUCUUUAAAAAAAUUUCCCCACCGCACAUGGGUGUGGGUUCCCACCAGUAUAGAAAACUAUACUAGUGAAGAGCUGCGUAGUCCUUCCGGCAGCUCCUAAUGUCAGUCCCUCCUUGCAGCCUUAGUAGAAACUCUGGUCAUCAUGUAUUCUUUUAGUACGCUGGGAGAACCGAUUGCCUUGAGUCUAAUUCUAUUUUUUGCUCUGUAUUAGAAUUUUCCUUUGGCCCCAGAAACACCUCGUUUUGUCUGGCUUAUUUGGAGUUGCUUCACGCCGUUCUGCACCCUGCACAUAUGGCCGCGAGCAAGACUAGCUUCUUCCUCUCCUGAGGCUUGGUUCUGAUGAGAGGGACAUAUGCAAACAUGAUUUCAGUGGAGUCUUAAGUGCUGUAGUGAAAAACAAAAGCUGGGAAGAGGCUGGGCUCUGGCCCAAGAGAACUGAUGGAGAGGCCAAGGCCAGAUCAGGAAGCAGAUCACAGGAGGGGUCACAGUGCACAGAGCCAUCCUUCUGCGGCAUCAUGGUUGGGAUGCAGUGUUACAGCUACACCCCUAGAGCUGGAUGCCCCACUCUCCCGGGAUCCCCUAGGCGGAAAAGAGGGUCACCGGCUUCAUAAGGACCUCAUCUGCCUGUAUGUCCUCCACUUCUCAGCUGGGCCGGAGACUCCAAGGACCAUCUUGGGGCUCAGGUGAACAUCCAUUCUGUUUCCAUUCCCACCCAUUCAGCACGAAGCAGGGGCUGCAGGACUCUUCUGUCUCUACCACUGUUGUGAAUCAAGUCAGUGAACAGCAACCAGGUAGUGGUGUUACACAGGAACACAUCUGAAUAAAAUGUGUUUUUCUGUCUAGCAUUUUAAUAUGAACUUCCAGUGUAUUCCUUAGUAUACUCAUGCACCAUGGCUGUUUUAAGCAACAUUAUCCUGAGGUGCACU